Molecule: ribosomal RNA, 564 nt
Filed under: Williopsis jadinii
Lineage: Eukaryota; Fungi; Ascomycota; Saccharomycetes; Phaffomycetales; Wickerhamomycetaceae
Description: eukaryotic LSU rRNA
Rfam family: Eukaryotic large subunit ribosomal RNA
Source: RNAcentral
UCAGUACGGCGAGUGAGCGGCAAAAGCUCAAAUUUGAAAUCUGAGGCUUUCAGCCCCCGAGUUGUAAUUUGAAGAUGGUGUUCUGGUGCCGGCCCCCUGUCUACGUUCCUUGGAACAGGACAUCACAGAGGGUGAGAAUCCCGUCUGGCGGGGCGGCCUGGCUCCGUGUAGAGCGCCAUCGACGAGUCGAGUUGUUUGGGAAUGCAGCUCUAAGUGGGUGGUAAAUUCCAUCUAAAGCUAAAUAUUGGCGAGAGACCGAUAGCGAACAAGUACAGUGAUGGAAAGAUGAAAAGAACUUUGAAAAGAGAGUGAAAAAGUACGUGAAAUUGUUGAAAGGGAAGGGUAUUGGAUCAGACUUGGUGCUGUGCGAAUAGCGGCCCUUCUUGGGCUGCCCACUCGCACUCCACCGGGCCAGCAUCGGUUUGGGCGGCAAGACAAUGGCGGGGGAACGUGGCACUGCUCUCGGGCAGUGUGUUUAUAGCCCCCGCUGAUGUUGCCUGCCUAGACCGAGGACUGCGGCUUCUGCCUAGGAUGCUGGCGUAAUGAUCCAACACCGCCCGUCUA